UGGGGAAUCUUGCACAAUGGGCGAAAGCCUGAUGCAGCAACGCCGCGUGCGGGAAGAAGGCCCUCGGGUCGUAAACCGCUUUCAGAAGGAACGAAACUGACGGUACUUUCAGAAGAAGGUGCGGCCAACUACGUGCCAGCAGCCGCGGUGACACGUAGGCACCAAGCGUUGUCCGGAUUUAUUGGGCGUAAAGAGCUCGUAGGCGGUUCAGUAAGUCGGGUGUGAAAACUUUGGGCUUAACCCAAAGCGUGCAUCCGAUACUGCUGUGACUUGAGUACGGUAGGGGAGCGGGGAAUUCCUAGUGUAGCGGUGAAAUGCGCAGAUAUUAGGAGGAACACCGGUGGCGAAGGCGCCGCUCUGGGCCGAAACUGACGCUGAGGAGCGAAAGCAUGGGUAGCAAACAGGAUUAGAUACCCACGUAGUCCCUGAGCGGGCUGGCAAGGCGCAU
RNAcentral lists this ribosomal RNA (448 nucleotides) under uncultured bacterium. RNAcentral's name for it is "bacterial SSU rRNA". It matches the Rfam family "Bacterial small subunit ribosomal RNA", at positions 355 to 825 of the family's 1533-position model. The record is from RNAcentral.